This is a non-coding RNA of Ameiurus melas (black bullhead), 74 nucleotides long. The record is from the annotation of a GenBank genome assembly. Lineage: Eukaryota; Metazoa; Chordata; Actinopteri; Siluriformes; Ictaluridae.
GCCAGUGGUGGCUCAGCGGUUAAGACGUCGGGCUACUUAUUGGAAGGUCAUGAGUUCAAACCCCAGCACUGCCA